Molecule: long non-coding RNA, 385 nt
Filed under: Elaeis guineensis (African oil palm)
Lineage: Eukaryota; Viridiplantae; Streptophyta; Magnoliopsida; Arecales; Arecaceae
Description: long non-coding RNA (EGUI_LNC057698)
Source: RNAcentral
GCCUUGCUCAUUUGCUAGCCUAAUUUGAUGGGCAUUUGCAUUAGGUCAAGCCACCCAGAAGCAGCCAAAAAGAGGCACCAUAUCUGGUGUACACGCCAAAUAACUAAAAGUCCAACUUAAGAAGGACUCUUGGUGCUAAUAUGCAGAAUGCAUGUGUACUUUAUUUGUGGCGUAGAGAAGAACUAAGAAUCCUUCUGUUUUGGACCUCUAUUUUUUAUAACAAGUAGAUCAGAUAAUGAGCCACCUAGCAUACCUUUUGAAGCAUGAAAAAUCUAUCAGAUUGUGCAUAAAAAAAUUGCUUGAAUCAUUGCUGCACGUGUGACAGUUUUUUCUAGAUGUGCGAAGGGACGCGAAGACUCUUUCUGUUUAGGGAGUCUUAAGCAAC